This is a long non-coding RNA of Carassius auratus (goldfish), 1320 nucleotides long. Lineage: Eukaryota; Metazoa; Chordata; Actinopteri; Cypriniformes; Cyprinidae. The record is from Ensembl.
GUGGGUGGGCCACGAAGUCACGUGACCCUGACGCGCUCGUGAACCGCACUCAGGGAAGUUGUUUUCCGUUACUUCUACUUUUAAAAUGUGAAGUUUAACUUAGAAUAACGCUAUUCGAUCUGUUCAGCCAAAAGGUGGUCUACAUCCAUAAAGAGCUUGUGGACGCAGAGUACAAAGAUGUCCAAGCUGGCUUCCCGUAACUCUCAGCUGCUGCUGGCGGAUCAGAAGUGUGCUAGAUGUCUGUUAGAGACGUAUGUCAAGCGGAGCCUCAGCCUCAAUGAAGGGUGCCGGAAACAUCAGCUGAAUAAGCUCAAAUGGCUUAAACCAGAAAGACAGUCCAGACGGGCGUCCAGUGACACCUCCACCCACCGUCUGAGAGUAGAGAGGUUCCUGAAGACCGGUGAGUGUCCUGAAUGCACAUCACAAGAGCUGGUCACUAGGAGUAAGAGCACCAAAGCACCGAGCAGAACCAAAUCACUCUUCAGAGGCUUCCUCCACCUCUUCUCUAAGAAGAAGACUGAGCCCAAAGUGAAAGAGGAGCGAGUUACAGAAACAGACUCUGGACAGUAUACGACAGAGCGGGGGCUUCGCUCUUCUCAUAACGGCUCACCUGGCCACACUGAGACUGUGAGGAAGAAACACUCUCUGAGGAGGAUCUUCUUUAGCAACCAAAAUGAUGAGAAAAGAGAAACAUUACGAAAGGACUGCUCUCCUGUUCCUGGUGGCGUGGAGGGGCUUUCAGACGUGAGCGUGGAUUCUGAUAAUGCAUACUUUGAGAAGGUGUCAGAAGAGCUGGAGUUGAUUGUGAAGGAGAUUCAGUUCAGUCCAAACGAAGAUGGUGUUCCGCUGCUCUCUGCUGCUUCUGCAGGAAACUGCAGCUCUUCAGGUGAAGACACUACAGAGAGGAUCAUCAGCCUGCUGAAGCAACAUGGGGAUAUUAUAGAUCAGAAAAUAAGCAGGAACAAGAGCGUCCAAGACUUCCUCCAGAAACUGUCUUACAGCUCCUUCCAGCGGCUCGCUGAUCGCUACAUAGCGCAGAUCCCCAGUCCUCUUCCCCAGACCACAGACGCCUCUCCUGAGCUGGUCAGACUGGCCUUCACCCUGGACUUUACUGCCAAAGUGGCUGGAUUGUGCAGCCAGACGGUCGGUCGAAUCAUGGGGUUUGGGAACCAGUACCUUCAGGAUUCCUUCACACAAAUGUGUGCAGCCCACAGACAGGUAAUACAAGGGCAAAGGUGUAAUCGUGGGAGUAAAGUAAUAGGCCACAGUGGGGUCUUGCUUUAUGUUACAAAAAUGCACACUUUUAGAGACUCUUUUUGA